GCCUUCGUGGUGUAGUGGUCAGCACACUUGGCACGUAUUCAAGAGGUCCACGGUUCGAGUCCCUGUUCGGGCG
This 73-nucleotide transfer RNA is filed under the name Stegodyphus mimosarum. It matches the Rfam family "tRNA". Rfam says of the family: Transfer RNA (tRNA) molecules are approximately 80 nucleotides in length. Their secondary structure includes four short double-helical elements and three loops (D, anti-codon, and T loops). Lineage: Eukaryota; Metazoa; Arthropoda; Arachnida; Araneae; Eresidae. The record is from Rfam by way of RNAcentral.